UGGUUGUGGUGUGUGUGGAGAGGAGAGGAGAUGUGGGCAGGAUAGCAAGAUUGACAGAAAAGCAAGAACAAAUUCCUACAUGAUGAUUAACAUGAAUGCUCCUGACCAUCCUGGAGAAAGGCCUUCUGAUAUUCAUGGUUCACUAACAAGUCAUCACCAAAAUGGGACUCUUAAUGCCUAAUCAACAGCAGUUAAUAAAAUAUGCAAUAAAUUACUAUUCGGAAAUAUUAAAAUUGAAAGAAAAGAAAAAGACAUCAAUAGGAUUUAUAGAAAAACAAUAAAUCCUUCUCCCUCUAUCUUGGGCUAUCAAAAGAAAAGCAAUUCAUUGUCUUUGCUUAGACAAGUCUUCCUCUGCAUACGCACAAAUAAGUUUGUGCAUAUGCUAAAACCUGAAGUCUUGAAGCCUAGAAGAGCCUGUUUGGCCAUGUUAUUGGGGUCAAAAAGAAGUUUGUGCCCAGGCCCCAAGCAGUUUCAGCGGCUUUUGAGCUUUGGCCAAAGCCUCCUCUGCACACCCUCCUCAAAACACAACACCACCCACGCCACCCCAAAGAAGAAGGGGGGAAAAAAAAAAAAGUGAAGGGCCACAGGGCUGAACAAAGUUAUAGGUAUUGUUAUAUAAGAUUACCGUGAAUUAUAAAUGUAUUGAGUAUAUAAAUUUAUUAGACUGUACCCUUCUGACAAUAGCAUCCACGCCUUCAUUGCCACCUUAAAAACUUCUUUACUUUCCACACAAAAUCUAUCUAUAAAUCUACCCAUUUAUGCCUUGUUAUUAAGGUAUGAAACUUCAUACCUAAGAAUUCCCUUAGUGCCACAAACCAUGCAACUAUCACUCCCUCUAAAGCAAAAUGAAAUAUAGCUAUAAUAUACAAUCAAACAAGAAAUUUAAAAUUUUACACCAUUUUCACUUUUCACCCAUUGAACUUGAUCUGGUUAUCGAUUUAAUUGUUCUGUUACAGUGUCUCACACUGACAGUUAAAUGCCCAAAGUAAGGGUUUACUGAACCAAACUUGUACAUUUAUCCUAAAACUUUAGUAUCUGACACCUUUGAAUUCAAUGAUUGGAUGAAAUAAUACUCUUCCCUAACAUAGAGAAAGUCCCGAGUGAAAGCUUGCCAAAAUGUCUGAGUAAAUGCUGCAGGUAAGUAGUGCAGUUAGAUGGCAACCUUUAUAAACAAUGCCUAAGUU
Molecule: unclassified non-coding RNA, 1184 nt
Filed under: Hevea brasiliensis (rubber tree)
Lineage: Eukaryota; Viridiplantae; Streptophyta; Magnoliopsida; Malpighiales; Euphorbiaceae
Source: RNAcentral